UACGUAGGGCGCAAGCGUUGUCCGGAAUUAUUGGGCGUAAAGAGCUCGUAGGCGGUUUGUCACGUCUGCUGUGAAAACCUAAGGCUCAACCUUGGGCUUGCAGUGGGUACGGGCAGACUAGAGUGCGGUAGGGGUGACUGGAAUUCCUGGUGUAGCGGUGGAAUGCGCAGAUAUCAGGAGGAACACCGAUGGCGAAGGCAGGUCACUGGGCCGCAACUGACGCUGAGGAGCGAAAGCGUGGGGAGCAAACAGG
RNAcentral lists this ribosomal RNA (253 nucleotides) under uncultured bacterium. RNAcentral describes it as "partial 16S ribosomal RNA". It matches the Rfam family "Bacterial small subunit ribosomal RNA", at positions 524 to 776 of the family's 1533-position model. The record is from RNAcentral.